RNAcentral lists this ribosomal RNA (206 nucleotides) under uncultured bacterium. Its description in RNAcentral is "partial 16S ribosomal RNA". It matches the Rfam family "Bacterial small subunit ribosomal RNA", at positions 568 to 774 of the family's 1533-position model. The record is from RNAcentral.
CUCGUAGGCGGUUCGUCGCGUCCGGUGUGAAAGUCCAUCGCUUAACGGUGGAUCUGCGCCGGGUACGGGCGGGCUGGAGUGCGGUAGGGGAGACUGGAAUUCCCGGUGUAACGGUGGAAUGUGUAGAUAUCGGGAAGAACACCAAUGGCGAAGGCAGGUCUCUGGCCGUUACUGACGCUGAGGAGCGAAAGCGUGGGGAGCGAACA